RNAcentral lists this ribosomal RNA (730 nucleotides) under uncultured Chalara. RNAcentral describes it as "eukaryotic LSU rRNA". The stretch from base 160 to 730 matches the Rfam family "Eukaryotic large subunit ribosomal RNA", at positions 1 to 575 of the family's 3401-position model. The record is from RNAcentral. Lineage: Eukaryota; Fungi; Ascomycota; Leotiomycetes; Helotiales.
GCGUCAUUUCAACCCUCAAGCACAGCUUGGUCUUGGGCCCUGCCGGCAACGGCUGGCCUUAAAAACAGUGGCGGCGCCAUCGAGCUCUACGCGUAGUAAUUAUACCCUCGCGUGUGAGUCCCGGUGGAUGCUGGCCAGCAGCCCCCAAUUUUCUAUGGUUGACCUCGAAUCAGGUAGGGAUACCCGCUGAACUUAAGCAUAUCAAUAAGCGGAGGAAAAGAAACCAACAGGGAUUACCUCAGUAACGGCGAGUGAAGCGGUAACAGCUCAAAUUUGAAAUCUGGCUCUUUCAGGGUCCGAGUUGUAAUUUGUAGAAGAUGCUUCGGGUGUGGCUCCGGUCUAAGUUCCUUGGAACAGGACGUCAUAGAGGGUGAGAAUCCCGUAUGUGACUGGCUGCCUCCGCCCAUGUGAAGCUCUUUCGACGAGUCGAGUUGUUUGGGAAUGCAGCUCAAAAUGGGUGGUAAAUUUCAUCUAAAGCUAAAUAUUGGCCAGAGACCGAUAGCGCACAAGUAGAGUGAUCGAAAGAUGAAAAGCACUUUGGAAAGAGGGUUAAACAGUACGUGAAAUUGUUGAAAGGGAAGCGCUUGCAAUCAGACUUGCACGCUGUUGAUCAUCGGAGGUUCUCCCCCGUGCACUCGGCAGCGUUCAGGCCAGCAUCGGUUUGGGUGGUUAGAUAAAGGCCUUGGGAAUGUAGCUUCCUUCGGGGAGUGUUAUAGCCCUCGGUGCAAUG